CGGUGGAGCAUGUGUUUAAUUCGAAGCAACGCGAAGAACCUUACCAGGCCUUGACAUGCAGAGAACUUUCCAGAGAUGGAUUGGUGCCUUCGGGAACUCUGACACAGGUGCUGCAUGGCUGUCGUCAGCUCGUGUCGUGAGAUGUUGGGUUAAGUCCCGUAACGAGCGCAACCCUUGUGUUUUAGUUGCAAACAGGUCAAGCUGUGCACUCUAGACAGACUGCCGUGGACAACACGGAGGAAGGUGGGGAUGACGUCAAAUCAUCAUGCCCCUUAUGAUCUGGGCUACACACGAGCUACAAUGGCCGGUACAACGGGCAGCGAAGGAGCGAUCCGGAGCGAAUCCUAAAAAGCCGGUCCCAGUUCGGAUUGCAGGCUGAAACUCGCCUACAUGAAGUUGGAGUUGCUAGUAAUCGCGAAUCAGAAUGUCGCGGUGAAUGCGUUCCCGGGUCUU
Molecule: ribosomal RNA, 453 nt
Filed under: uncultured Fusibacter sp.
Lineage: Bacteria; Bacillati; Bacillota; Clostridia; Eubacteriales; Fusibacteraceae
Description: bacterial SSU rRNA
Rfam family: Bacterial small subunit ribosomal RNA
Source: RNAcentral